RNAcentral lists this ribosomal RNA (427 nucleotides) under uncultured bacterium. Its description in RNAcentral is "partial 16S ribosomal RNA". It matches the Rfam family "Bacterial small subunit ribosomal RNA", at positions 355 to 774 of the family's 1533-position model. The record is from RNAcentral.
UGGGGAAUAUUGGACAAUGGGCGAAAGCCUGAUCCAGCCAUGCCGCGUGUGUGAAGAAGGUCUUCGGAUUGUAAAGCACUUUAAGUUGGGAGGAAGGGCAUUAACCUAAUACGUUAGUGUUUUGACGUUACCGACAGAAUAAGCACCGGCUAACUCUGUGCCAGCAGCCGCGGUAAUACAGAGGGUGCAAGCGUUAAUCGGAAUUACUGGGCGUAAAGCGCGCGUAGGUGGUUUGUUAAGUUGGAUGUGAAAUCCCCGGGCUCAACCUGGGAACUGCAUUCAAAACUGACUGACUAGAGUAUGGUAGAGGGUGGUGGAAUUUCCUGUGUAGCGGUGAAAUGCGUAGAUAUAGGAAGGAACACCAGUGGCGAAGGCGACCACCUGGACUAAUAUUGACACUGAGUUGCGAAAGCGUGGGGAGCAAACA